Molecule: small nucleolar RNA, 73 nt
Organism: Vombatus ursinus (common wombat)
Lineage: Eukaryota; Metazoa; Chordata; Mammalia; Diprotodontia; Vombatidae
Source: Ensembl
UUGAAGAUGAUGUUAAUGUUCCUUCAUCUGAAGAAAUCCUAUGAAGAGAAAAUCACAUUAUCUCUGAUUCAAU